This 435-nucleotide ribosomal RNA is filed under the name uncultured bacterium. RNAcentral's name for it is "partial 16S ribosomal RNA". It matches the Rfam family "Bacterial small subunit ribosomal RNA", at positions 28 to 507 of the family's 1533-position model. The record is from RNAcentral.
GAUGAACGCUGGCGGUAUGCUUAACACACGCAAGUCGAACGGACUCUUCGGAGUUAGUGGCGGACGGGUGAGUAACGCGUGAGAAUCUGGCUUUGGGUUCGGGACAACCACUGGAAACGGUGGCUAAUACCGGAUGUGCCGAGAGGUAAAAGAGAAAUUGCCUGAAGAUGAGCUCGCGUCUGAUUAGCUAGUUGGUGAGGUAAAGGCUCACCAAGGCAGCGAUCAGUAGCUGGUCUGAGAGGAUGACCAGCCACACUGGGACUGAGACACGGCCCAGACUCAUACGGGAGGCAGCAGUGGGGAAUGUUCCGCAAUGGGCGAAAGCCUGACGGAGCAAUACCGCGUGAGGGAAGAAGGCUCUUGGGUUGUAAACCUCUUUUCUUAGGGAAGAACAAAAUGACGGUACCUAAGGAAUCAGCAUCGGCUAACUCCGUG